Molecule: long non-coding RNA, 2873 nt
Filed under: Mus musculus (house mouse)
Lineage: Eukaryota; Metazoa; Chordata; Mammalia; Rodentia; Muridae
Description: long non-coding RNA chr13:47245118-47247991
Source: RNAcentral
GCAGGAGAAACUGCCGUUCAGAGGGAGUUGUCCCUUCCCAGGAAGAGGUUGUAACUUGUAAGGCAACAUGGCCUCAUUCAGUGUCUGUUGUUUGGCAGAUGUUAUUCUUCUAAGGUGAACCAGUGUUCACCGCUCACAGUCAGCCAGCAGCUGUGGUCUCUAAAAAGCGUUUUCUACGGGAUGAAAGGGGAAAGCUCCAAAGCUUUCCUUGUAGACAGCAGGGUCCUUUCUUGGGCUCUGUGGUCAUAUUCCCAACAGAUCAGGAGUUGGACCAGACAGUGUGCAUCAACAGUAGACACUGUAGUCCAUUCACACAUAUAGAGCCCAUGUGACUCCAGCUGGGCACAUGUGUAGAUAUUUAAUGGAUAACACAAAAUAAGAUUAUUUUAAAAGACCUUUUCCCUUUCUAGGACUAAAAUGAUAUAUUUAUCAGCAUAAGAGGGGUUUUUUUUUGGGGGGGGUUGGUUUUAUUUACUUAGUACACAUGUGAAUUUUUGUUAUAAAGUUCCUAACUUACUCAAGAGGGUAGACUCAAAAGUCUUUUACAACAACCCCUAGUGCGGUUUUAUGCCUCUGUAAAGUGAUAUUCAGGUUAUUUACAUACUUUCAGACACAAUGUAGAGCAGCUCUUCACUCAGCCUAAUUUAGUCUUGGUCUCCCAGGAGCUGUCCAGACAAUCUGAGUACUUUCUGUGCUCUCAAGAAUUUCGUGUGACAACAAGCAAUCGGAUGGAAACAGUUCAGGUGUCUUCAGUUGCUGGGAUUUGUGUCACCUCAGUGUGAUACAUCCUGCCUGUUAUACAAUUAAUCAGCAAAUAGGUUUUGAAAAGAUGAGCAUAUUUUUCCUCUAGCAGUAUACAGUUGCCAUUAGCAAAGCAGCCCGGUGCUUCAUAAGAACUGUGUGUGUUCCACGUUAACAGAGACCUCUCCUGGAAGCCGGGGAGAGUAUUCAGGGCCUGUUCUGUUUCCCCCGGUAACUAGGUGACUAGAUUGUUAAACUGCUGCUAUUUUAGAUCUGUUAUCAAAGACCUGUUAUCAUCAGCCUUGCCUCUGCAGUGCAAUGUAUCCCUAAGUGGAGAUGUCUAUAUGCAAGGGAUCACAUGUGCGGUGGAAUGUAUCCUAAGUGGGCAUGUAUGUAUUCAGGGGAUCACAUGUGCGGUGGAAUGUAUCCUAAGUGGGCAUGUAUAUAUUCAGGGGAUCACAUGUGUACAUUAGCAUCUGAUGUCUGUACAGAACAUUCCCUGGCCACGUGCUUUUUUUAGUCACAGUUUGUAUAAAACAUAGAACUCUAGAAAACUUCUGAAUGGCAACCAGCCCAAAUCCUUUCAAUCAUUUAUUAGAAAAUCUUCCAUAUAAAGUGGCUCCGUCUUCUGGUGAAUGUCUUCAGUUACAGCAGGAAAAACAAACCUCUCUUUUGAAAGGGUAUUUCAUAUUAGUCUGAAUAUAAAUGACAUCUGAGUGGCGGACCUGCACACAUAGUCACCUUCCUCCCUUGAGGCGAGGGGCAUUUGUCACAGCUCAGGGGAUUACAGGAGCUCAACUGAAAUUGGAUUUCUCUGCACGGAUGUCAACAGUGACACCAAGCACCACCCUCAGUAAAUUUUCCAGGCCUGCCUGGUUCUAAGUGGGGCCGAUUUCAUGUAACCUGAAAUGCUGUUAUCUCCGAAGUAGAAGCUGCUGUGAGUGGAUUUAGAGUAAAGACGGAGGCAAAUGCCUGGGCGAUUUCCCCGGCGAAACUGAGGGAAAUCGCCUUCUCAGAGAUUUUUUAUAAAAGCAUUUGUUUUGAAUUUAUUUUUCAGCUUGGGGCGGCGGGUGGGGGGGGGGGUUGUUUGUCAAACUGAUUUUACAUAACUGGAUUUUUUUUUUAAUGUUGCAAAGUGCCUGAAUAAUGGUGUCUUUUUCAUCAUAUAGCAAAAUGUGUGUGAGAGAGUGUGUCAGAAUCUACUUUGGUAGAUGGAACCCAAGUGUCUGUAGCUCUGGCUCAUCGCAGGGCGCAAUACCAGCCCAACUGACUUUGUUUACAAAGAUACAAGGUGGCAACUGUGCCGGGAAAGGCCGGUGUCCUGGUGUCCUCGUUUUGGGUAAUUAGCCCCUGACGGCUUUACUUACCUGUCCCUCAGCUUCCUCCUCCUGCUUCAGGAAGGGUUCCUAUAGCAAGCGUUUGGCUGUGACAAAGCCCACCAGGUUCACACCUGGGUGUAACAACCCACCUUCCAGAAAUCUCACUGGAUGCAAAGGUACAGCUUCCAGAGCCUGCCGCUGGGGUUCUCCUCUUAGAACAAGUUAGAGAAGAGAGGAAGAAAGCCAUUAUGAAAGCAAAUGUUAGAUAGCGUCUUAGCCACCCUGUUUGUUCACAGUGUGGGUAUUUGUUCUGGACUUGAAAUCUGUACUUUGAAAGUGGCCUUUGGAAAGCAAAUAAGUCGGCUUGGAUUUUCUUGUUGUCUGCAGCACAAAAUAAUCUUCCCCGUCCAAGUGGAAAAUUCUCAUUGAUUUUUUUUUUUUUUUGGAUGUACAAAACUGUUUCUUGGAACGCCAAAUUUCCUCUUUGAAAUGACUCAAUAACUAAGUGUGUGCUGCUUUCGCCUCCUGCGCCCACUGCUCCUGAACAACCUAUCUCUCUGUCGGUGAAGAGAUGCCUUUGUGGAUGUGAACAUCUGGCUGUGAGACCACAGGAAUGCCUUAGAGGAAUGGCACUUUGUAAAGCUGUCUGAAUUGAUAUCUACAGGCUAUCACACCUCCUGUUGGUUCACGAUCCAGGAAGUUUUGUUGUGUGCUUACUUAAAUUUACUGUCGCAUUAUAUAGAUUUCCAAGUCUUUGGGAAGAAAAUUAACUGUUUUAGUCUCUUUAGCCCCAAUAAAUGUGAGCAGGAAACC